This is a long non-coding RNA of Panicum virgatum (switchgrass), 508 nucleotides long. RefSeq lists it as uncharacterized. The transcript is spliced from 2 exons. The record is from RefSeq and is a predicted model, not a curated record. Lineage: Eukaryota; Viridiplantae; Streptophyta; Magnoliopsida; Poales; Poaceae.
CUCCAGACGGCCAUUAGUUUGGGCCUCAGCCAGAUAAUAGCACAGAGAACAGAUCAGUGUUUCAUGCAGCUCAAAGGGCUCGAAGAUAUGCAGUCAUAAAUACUGGUGGAGUAAAUUUGGUCCCUCAGGUUUGGAGCGCUCAGGACAAAAUCAAGUAGUAUGUGGAGACUUUCAGAAGUGGGUGAUGGGUAGCCUUUCAGACAUUUCCCGGACUAAUGAAAUGUGGGAGAAACUUCAAGAUUGAUAGCUAGAACUGCUUUUACUAUAGGUUUGGGCAACUGGAAAAACAUUGACAAAUGCUUGUCGUUGGAAUAGGUGGUAGCUUUUUUGGGCCUCUAUUUGUGCAUAUUGCACUCUAGGAUGGUGAACUACAGAGUUAUUCAGUCCCUAGGUUCCUAGAAACUUGUAUGCAUUCUGAACUAACAUGCCUAGAAAAUAUUGGUGAUUUUCAGAUCCAAGCGUGAGGACAAGCUAACAAACAUCUAUAAAUAUUAUGAUGUCAGAUGAU